UACGGGGGGGGCAAGCGUUGUUCGGAAUUACUGGGCGUAAAGGGCUUGUAGGUGGCCAACUAAGUCAGACGUGAAAUCCCUCGGCCUUAACCGGGGAACUGCGUCUGAUACUGGAUGGCUUGAGUGUGGGAGAGGGGAUGCGGAAUUCCAGGUGUAGCGGUGAAAUGCGUAGAUAUCUGGAGGAACACCUGUGGCGGAAAAGCGGCUCACUGGACCAUAACUGACGCUGAUGGCACGAAAGCUGGGGGAGCAAACAGG
RNAcentral lists this ribosomal RNA (258 nucleotides) under uncultured bacterium. RNAcentral describes it as "partial 16S ribosomal RNA". It matches the Rfam family "Bacterial small subunit ribosomal RNA", at positions 524 to 776 of the family's 1533-position model. The record is from RNAcentral.